Molecule: ribosomal RNA, 662 nt
Filed under: uncultured organism
Description: bacterial SSU rRNA
Rfam family: Bacterial small subunit ribosomal RNA
Source: RNAcentral
GGCUUAGAGUUUGAUCAUGGCUCAGGAUGAACGCUGGCGGCGUGCCUAAUACAUGCAAGUCGGACGCAAUGCUUCGGCAUUGAGUGGCGAACGGGUGAGUAAGACAUAAGCAACCUGCCCCUGUGAGGGGGAUAACUGCUGGAAACGGCAGCUAAGACCGCAUAGGCAUAGAGGACGCAUGUCGACUAUGUUAAAUAUCCCACGGGAUAGCACAGGGAUGGGCUUAUGACGCAUUAGCCAGCUGGUGAGGUAACGGCUCACCAGGGCGACGAUGCGUAGCCGGCCUGAGAGGGUGGACGGCCACACUGGGACUGAGACACGGCCCAGACUCCUACGGGAGGCAGCAGUAGGGAAUUUUCGGCAAUGGGCGAAAGCCUGACCGAGCAACGCCGCGUGAAGGAAGAAGUCAUUCGUGAUGUAAACUUCUGUUAUGAAGGAAGAACGGCAGAUGGAGGGAAUGCCAUGUGCGUGACGGUACUUCAUGAGGAAGCCACGGCUAACUACGUGCCAGCAGCCGCGGUAAUACGUAGGUGGCGAGCGUUAUCCGGAAUCAUUGGGCGUAAAGAGGGAGCAGGCGGCAGUGCAGGUCUGCGGUGAAAGACCGGAGCUAAACUUCGGUAAGCCGUGGAAACCGCACAGCUAGAGAGCAUCAGAGGAUCGCG